CUACGGGAGGCUCCAGUGAGGAAUUUUGCGCAAUGGGGGGAACCCUGACGCAGCAACGCCGUGUGAGUGAAGAAGGCCUUUGGGUCGUAAAGCUCUGUCAACUGGGAAGAAGUUACUAUGCUUAAAUAGAGUGUAGUAUUGACGGUACCAGUGGAGGAAGCGUCGGCUAACUCCGUGCCAGCAGCCGCGGUAACACGGGGGACGCAAGCGUUAUUCGGAAUUAUUGGGCGUAAAGGGCGCGUAGGCGGUCUUGUCGGUCAGGUGUGAAAGCCCGGGGCUCAACCCCGGACGUGCACUUGAAACAGCAAGACUUGAGUACGGGAGAGGAAAGCGGAAUUCCUGGUGUAGAGGUGAAAUUCGUAGAUAUCAGGAGGAACACCGAUGGCGAAGGCAGCUUUCUGGACCGAAACUGACGCUGAGGCGCGAAGGCGUGGGUAGCGAACGGGAUUAGAUACCCUCGUAGUC
RNAcentral lists this ribosomal RNA (465 nucleotides) under uncultured bacterium. RNAcentral's name for it is "partial 16S ribosomal RNA". It matches the Rfam family "Bacterial small subunit ribosomal RNA", at positions 339 to 795 of the family's 1533-position model. The record is from RNAcentral.